UUUCCGAUGCCUUCUUUCAGAUUUUUUCUUUGUGUUAUAGUGCUACAACAUUGCAUGUGUAUGGCAAAAAAAAAAAGUAGCCGUAUUUUCCCGUUGAAGGAGUUUGAGAUUCUGGGGAUCAUUUUUAAUAUGAACUUGCCACAGCAGGAACAGCAGGUGUGGCAGUCAGAGGUUCCCCAUUGCCUGCAUGCCCACCAGCCCUCCUGGCCACCACCGGUUCUACCUGCUGCUUUCGUGGCGAACGAUAAUGACAUCAUUAUAGCUUGCUUCAAAAAUGGCAAGUGUAGACAGUGAACUCCUUUGCAGCCAGGAAGACAGGCAGGUGGAAAACAGGGAACACCCACCCACUGGCUCAACCACCCACCCUCCUACUCAUCCACGCCACCACCAUCACACUCCACUUUCACUGCAGAUGAUAAUGGCAUUAUGAGUAACAUCAUUGUAACCCACCAUUAAAGCGGCAGGAGGAGGCCAAAGUGAGGAUGUAAGGGGAGAUGGUGGGGGCAGGCGAUGGGGAGCACCCACUGGACCGCUAGCAAGGCAUGCGUGCACCCUCAAUGCACACUGCACAUGUGAGCGAAGGGCACAUGCUGGACCAGGCUCCCACAUGACCCAGGCCAUGACUGCCCCUGCCUGCUUGGUGCCCUGUGUGACGACUUAUUUUGCCUAGUGUUGAAACAACGUCUCUUAACAAUGCUGGAAUUACAAUGCUAAUAUAAUCAUCUCUUUGAAAGUCUCUUUGUUCAGUCAGUGGGAAAAUCAUCAAAGAAGAAACUGAGCCCUUCUCAUUUUGUCUUGAGGGAAUUUUUAUUUAUUUAUUUGGUAGUUAAGGACAUUGGCCAUUGAAACACAUUGCUGAAUGUCUGUAUGGAGUAUGCUGGUUUAUUAUUUAUGUAGCUCUAUAAUGAAAAUGGUAGAGAUUGCCAGAUCUGUCUGCUAGUUCUGAGGUUACUGUUAAUUCAGCUGACCAAUUAGAUUUUGUCACAGAACUCCCCAAAACCUAAUUUAAAGCAGCUGUGAUGAGGAUUGCUUUGCUGAACUUGUUCUAGAUACAGGAACGGAUUGUCAGGGUUGGCUCAGGAGUUCAUAGUGGCCAUGAUGACUAUGGGCCUGUCCCAAGUGGUCUCUGGACUGAUGCAUGUUGCAGGUCACACACUCAACUUGGUAUUUUGCUCUGAUCAGGGUGGUGUCCCGUGGGUGGGGACUUCCAUUAGCUCCCCACUGUCAUGGAUGGAUCACCAUCUGGUUGAAGUAGGACUUGCAGUCACAACCCACCUCUGCAGGAGUGAAGGACCCAUUAGGUUGGUCCGCCCAAGCAGGUUAUUGGAUCCAAUAGGAUCCCCUAAAGGCUUGGAAGGGUUUAAAGCUGGCUCUGCUAGUGAUUCUGUCAGUGCUCUGAUGCAAAUAUAAAACAUAUAGAGUGGUAGACAUAUAGAGUGGUAGACACAUUCGCUCCUAAGCAUCCUCUCCAACCUGCUUUAAAGUCAGCCCCGUGGUAUUCAGAUGAACUGCGGGAGUUGUAGCAGCAAGACUCGAAGCAGUUUACAUAAAUUAAAACAACAACGACAAGAGAAGAAGGGGUGGCGGGGGAGGAAGAAAGAAAAGGAAAAAAGAAAAAGACCCGCCCCCCACACACUCACAUGAUAAAAACUAAAAGCCUGGGAAAGCCUGGUUUUCAGGAGCUUCUUAAAGGACAGAAGAGAGGGGGCAUUACAAAUCUCAGGAGGCAGAGUGUUCCAUAACAAGGGGGCAGCAACAGAGAAGGCCCUCCAACAAGCCCGGGCCCCACAUACCUCCCCUGGGCCUAGAAUUCUGAGAAGGCCCACCUGAUAACCUCACCGGGCGUGUCGAAGUUGGACAGGAGAGGCGGUCCUGAAUGUACACAGGUAAAACGUUGACUUGCUAUUAUGGUCAUCAUCCCGUGGAAGGUUCUGACAAUGGCUUCUGUGUAUCAGGCUCUUCACCAGGAUAUAGAAAUAAUGACAUAGUCGGAUUUCGAAGAGAAGAUUUUGAGAAAUGUAACACAAAACUAAGAUAUGCUGGCGACAUAUGGAAGUUUUCCUGCUGCACAACAGAUAAAUGUAAUCCUCUUAUAAAAGCUAAAAUAGAAUAUAAUAUCUAAAACCUAAAAUCUGCUCAUGGCAAGUGAGCCCGGCCUGUCAGUAACCUGAAGGCCUAACUUCCUGGAUGAAGCCUUUGGUAGAUUUAGCCCAGCUGCUUAUGUCUUGAAUAGAUGUCAGGCUGCUGAAAUAAAUGAAGAUGGAUUGAUAAACAAGCAUCCCAAAACACAGUA
This is a long non-coding RNA of Hemicordylus capensis (graceful crag lizard), 2293 nucleotides long. RefSeq lists it as uncharacterized. Lineage: Eukaryota; Metazoa; Chordata; Lepidosauria; Squamata; Cordylidae. The record is from RefSeq and is a predicted model, not a curated record. The transcript is spliced from 4 exons.